This 511-nucleotide ribosomal RNA is filed under the name uncultured bacterium. RNAcentral's name for it is "bacterial SSU rRNA". It matches the Rfam family "Bacterial small subunit ribosomal RNA", at positions 791 to 1308 of the family's 1533-position model. The record is from RNAcentral.
UAGUCUACGCCGUAAACGAUGGUUACUAGCUGUUCGGCAUUUAUGUUGAGUGGCUAAGCGAAAGUGAUAAGUAACCCACCUGGGGAGUACGUUCGCAAGAAUGGAACUCAAAGGAAUUGACGGGGGCCCGCACAAGCGGUGGAGCAUGUGGUUUAAUUCGAUGAUACGCGAGGAACCUUACCAGGGCUUAAAUGUAGUAUGACAGGACUAGAGAUAGUUUUUUCUUCGGACAUAUUACAAGGUGCUGCAUGGUUGUCGUCAGCUCGUGCCGUGAGGUGUCAGGUUAAGUCCUAUAACGAGCGCAACCCCUGUUGUUAGUUGCCAGCGAGUCAUGUCGGGAACUCUAACAAGACUGCCGGUGCAAACCGUGAGGAAGGUGGGGAUGACGUCAAAUCAUCACGGCCCUUACGUCCUGGGCCACACACGUGCUACAAUGGUAGGUACAGAGGGCAGCCACUACGCGAGUAGGAGCGAAUCCUUAAAACCUAUCUCAGUUCGGAUCGGAGUCUGC